Molecule: ribosomal RNA, 492 nt
Filed under: uncultured bacterium
Lineage: Bacteria
Description: partial 16S ribosomal RNA
Rfam family: Bacterial small subunit ribosomal RNA
Source: RNAcentral
AGUGAACGCUGGCGGUAGGCCUAACACAUGCAAGUCGAACGGCAGCACAGUAAGAGCUUGCUCUUACGGGUGGCGAGUGGCGGACGGGUGAGGAAUACAUCGGAAUCUACUUUUUCGUGGGGGAUAACGUAGGGAAACUUACGCUAAUACCGCAUACGACCUACGGGUGAAAGCAGGGGAUCUUCGGACCUUGCGCGAUUGAAUGAGCCGAUGUCGGAUUAGCUAGUUGGCGGGGUAAAGACCCACCAAGGCGACGAUCCGUAGAUGGUCUGAGAGGAUGAUCGGCCACACUGGAACUGAGACACGGUCCAGACCCCUACGGGAGGCAGCAGUGGGGAAUAUUGGACAAUGGGCGCAAGCCUGAUCCAGCCAUACCGCGUGGGUGAAGAAGGCCUUCGGGUUGUAAAGCCCUUUUGUUGGGAAAGAAAAGCAGCAGGUUAAUACCCCGCUGUUCUGACGGUACCCAAAGAAUAAGCACCGGCUAACUUCGUG